GAUGAACGCUGGCGGCGUGCCUAAUACAUGCAAGUCGAGCGAACGGACGAGGAGCUUGCUCCUCUGACGUUAGCGGCGGACGGGUGAGUAACACGUGGAUAACCUACCUAUAAGACUGGGAUAACUUCGGGAAACCGGAGCUAAUACCGGAUAAUAUAUUGAACCGCAUGGUUCAAUAGUGAAAGACGGUUUUGCUGUCACUUAUAGAUGGAUCCGCGCCGCAUUAGCUAGUUGGGAAGGUAACGGCUUACCAAGGCAACGAUGCGUAGCCGACCUGAGAGGGGGAUCGGCCACACUGGAACUGAGACACGGGCCCGACUCCUACGGGAGGCAGCAGUAGGGAAUCUUCCGCAAUGGGCGAAAGCCUGACGGAGCAACGCCGCGUGAGUGAUGAAGGUCUUCGGAUCGUAAAACUCUGUUAUUAGGGAAGAACAAAUGUGUAAGUAACUAUGCACGUCUUGACGGUACCUAAUCAGAAAGCCACGGCUAACUACGUG
RNAcentral lists this ribosomal RNA (497 nucleotides) under uncultured bacterium. RNAcentral describes it as "partial 16S ribosomal RNA". It matches the Rfam family "Bacterial small subunit ribosomal RNA", at positions 28 to 507 of the family's 1533-position model. The record is from RNAcentral.